UCCGGCUUAUCACCGGCAGUUUCUUUAGAGUGCCCAACUAAAUGGUAGCAACUAAAGACGAGGGUUGCGCUCGUUGCGGGACUUAACCCAACAUCUCACGGCACGAGCUGACGACAGCCAUGCAGCACCUGUGCUGGCUCCCCUUGCGAGGUCAUCCCCGUUUCCGGUUCUUACCACCAGCAUGUCAAACCUGGGUAAGGUUCUUCGCGUCGCUUCGAAUUAAGCCACAUGCUCCGCCGCUUGUGCGGGCCCCCGUCAAUUUCUUUGAGUUUUAAUCUUGCGACCGUACUUCCCAGGCGGCACGUUUAACGCGUUGGCUACGCCACAAAAGGGGUCGAAUCCUUUUACAGCAAACGUGCACCGUUUACGGCUAGGACUAC
RNAcentral lists this unclassified non-coding RNA (380 nucleotides) under uncultured bacterium. RNAcentral describes it as "contains 16S-23S intergenic spacer region". The record is from RNAcentral.